Long non-coding RNA from Balaenoptera ricei (Rice's whale), 547 nucleotides. RefSeq lists it as uncharacterized. The record is from RefSeq and is a predicted model, not a curated record. Lineage: Eukaryota; Metazoa; Chordata; Mammalia; Artiodactyla; Balaenopteridae. The transcript has 3 exons.
GCUGGACGCCUCCCUGUCACCGCUCCCAGUCAGGUCAGCGUCACAGAGCACCUGCGACUCGCUGCUGGGCCCUGACCCAGGUACAAGGUGCAAGAACAUAAAAAGCCCAGUCCUUACUCGCAGAGAAAAAGAGCCUGAACAUUGCAGAAGAAAGAAAAACCACCCAAUGCGGCAAUACCGAGAUAAUUCCUCCCUUUUUACUGAAUGCCAGUGUGCAUCUUGCACUACAUUACGCUCUUUAUGUGGGUUUUCCCUUUAAUCCUCCCGACAACUUCACGCCCCCAGUGACAGAGGAGGAAGCGGAGCUGGGGUGGUAUGCUCAGGUCCAUGCAGCAAUGCAGGGGCCUGCGGAGAGACAGAGCCGGCGCUGGGCAGCAGCACACACGGCGGGAGGCAGGAGCGACAAGGGAGAGAUCUCGCUCCCCAGUUUCCCAGUAGCGAGCAGCAGGGAGCGACUCACCGAGGGCACAGAUAUAAUGCCGUGAUAUUUGUUUCUCUUUGUCACCACGUGUUCGGGCCAGAAGGUCAACUGACUGCCAUCUACAAG